CAGCCGCCACGGGAAUACGAAGGGGGCUAGCGUUGUUCGGAUUUACUUGGCGUAAAGGGCGCGUAGGCGGACUGAUAAGUCAGGGGUGAAAUCCCAAGGCUCAACCUUGGAACUGCCUUUGAUACUGUUUGUCUUGAGUUCGAGAGAGGUAAGUGGAACUGCGAGUGUAGAGGUGAAAUUCGUAGAUAUUCGCAAGAACACCAGUGGCGAAGGCGGCUUACUGGCUCGAAACUGACGCUGAGGCGCGAAAGCGUGGGGAGCAAACAGGAUUAGAUACCCCUGUAGUCCCUGUCUCUUAUAC
Molecule: ribosomal RNA, 301 nt
Filed under: uncultured bacterium
Lineage: Bacteria
Description: partial 16S ribosomal RNA
Rfam family: Bacterial small subunit ribosomal RNA
Source: RNAcentral